CUGGAAUCGCUAGUAAUCGCGAAUCAGAAUGUCGCGGUGAAUACGUUCCCGGGUCCUUGUACACACCGCCCGUCACACCAUGGGAGUCGGGAAUGCCCGAAGUCAGUGACCCAACCUAUAGGAGGGAGCUGCCGAAGGCAGGUCUGAUAACUGGGGUGAAGUCGUAACAAGGUACC
RNAcentral lists this ribosomal RNA (176 nucleotides) under uncultured bacterium. RNAcentral describes it as "partial 16S ribosomal RNA". It matches the Rfam family "Bacterial small subunit ribosomal RNA", at positions 1326 to 1500 of the family's 1533-position model. The record is from RNAcentral.